This 468-nucleotide ribosomal RNA is filed under the name uncultured bacterium. RNAcentral's name for it is "partial 16S ribosomal RNA". It matches the Rfam family "Bacterial small subunit ribosomal RNA", at positions 28 to 507 of the family's 1533-position model. The record is from RNAcentral.
GACGAACGCUGGCGGUGGGCUUAACACAUGCAAGUCGAACGGAAAGGCCCUGCUUGUUUGGUGUUCUCGAUGGGCGAACGGGGGAGGAACACGUGAGUAACCGGCCCUUGACUUUGGUAUAGCUUCAGGAAACUGGAGCUAAUACCGUAUAGGAUCUGCUGCUGCGGGGAAGGGGUGGGAACUUCUAGGCGGUUGGGGAUGGACGCGCGGCUGAUCGGCUUGUUGGUUGGGUAGUUGCUUACCAAGGCAGUGACGGGUAGCCGGCAUGAGAGGGUGAACGGGCACCUUGGGACUGAGAUAGGGCGCAGAGUCGUAUGGGAGGCAGUAGGCGCAAACCUUGUCCAAUGGGAGCAAGCCGGAUGCAGAAACGCUGGGUGCGGGAAGCCGGUCUUUUGGUUGUAAAAAGCUUCAGGCUGUGACGCAGCGUGAGUGACGGUACUGGGUAAAGAAGCACCGGCUAACUACGUG